RNAcentral lists this transfer RNA (72 nucleotides) under Bilophila wadsworthia 3_1_6. It matches the Rfam family "tRNA". Rfam says of the family: Transfer RNA (tRNA) molecules are approximately 80 nucleotides in length. Their secondary structure includes four short double-helical elements and three loops (D, anti-codon, and T loops). The record is from Rfam by way of RNAcentral. Lineage: Bacteria; Pseudomonadati; Thermodesulfobacteriota; Desulfovibrionia; Desulfovibrionales; Desulfovibrionaceae.
GGCGACGUAGCCAAGUGGUAAGGCAGAGGUCUGCAAAACCUCCAUCCUCCGGUUCAAAUCCGGACGUCGCCU